RNAcentral lists this ribosomal RNA (277 nucleotides) under uncultured bacterium. Its description in RNAcentral is "partial 16S ribosomal RNA". It matches the Rfam family "Bacterial small subunit ribosomal RNA", at positions 30 to 306 of the family's 1533-position model. The record is from RNAcentral.
AUUGAACGCUGGCGGCGUGCUUAACACAUGCAAGUCGAGCGGUAACAGGCGUAGCAAUACGUGCUGACGAGCGGCGAACGGGUGCGUAAUACAUGGGAAUCUGCCUAGUAGUGGGGAAUAACCCGGCGAAAGCCGGGCUAAUGCCGCAUACGAUCCACGGAUGAAAGCGGGGGACCUUCGGGCCUCGCGCUAUUGGAUGAGCCCAUGUCGGAUUAGCUAGUUGGGAGGUAACGGCUCACCAAGGCGACGAUCCGUAGCUGGUCUGAGAGGACGGCCA